GCGGCUGUAGCUCAACGGUAGAGCGCUACCCUGUCACGGUAGAGGUCGUGGGAUCAUCACCCAUCAGCCGCG
Molecule: non-coding RNA, 72 nt
Organism: Candidatus Kaiserbacteria bacterium
Lineage: Bacteria; Candidatus Kaiseribacteriota
Source: Rfam